GCGCUCGUAGCUCAGUGGAUAGAGCACAGGCCUCCGAAGCCUGGGGUCGUGGGUUCAAAUCCCGCCGAGCGCGCCA
Molecule: transfer RNA, 76 nt
Filed under: Actinomycetota bacterium
Lineage: Bacteria; Bacillati; Actinomycetota
Description: tRNA-Arg
Rfam family: tRNA
About the family: Transfer RNA (tRNA) molecules are approximately 80 nucleotides in length. Their secondary structure includes four short double-helical elements and three loops (D, anti-codon, and T loops).
Source: RNAcentral